UGCCUCCUUCAUGUGGGGGGGGGCUGUCUUACCAUGGAUAAUUUCAUCUCACGUUUCACGCCUCUCCCCCUCCCUCCUCCUCCUUGCCCUUCUCUCUCCUCUCUCCUCAUCUCCUCUCUUCUCUCCUCUCCUCUCCUCCCCUCUCCUCUCCUCUCUCCCUCAUCUUCUCUCCUCUCUCCUCUACUCGCUGCGACCCCACAGUCCUCCCCUCCCCUCCCCUCCCCUCUCCUCUCCCUCCCCUCCCCUCCCCUCCCCUCUCCUCUCCUCUCCCCUCCCCUCCCCUCCCCUCCCCUCCCCUCUCCUCUCCCCUCCCCUCCCCUCCCCUCCCCUCUCCCCUCUCAUCCCCUCCCCUCUCCUCUCUCUCCCCUCUCCUCCCCUCCCCUCCCCUCUCCCCUCCUCUCUCUCCUCUCCCCUCUCCUCCCCUCCCCUCCCCUCUCCCCUCUCCUCCCCUCCCCUCUCCUCUCCUCUCCCCUCUCCCCUCUCCUCCCCUCCUCUCCCCUCCCCUCUCCCCUCUCCUCUCCUCCCCUCCCCUCUCCUCCCUCUCCCCUCCCCUCUCCUCUCUCCUCCUCUCUCCCUCUCCUCUCCUCUCCCCUCUCCCCUCUCCUCCCCUCCCCUCUCCCCUCUCCUCCCCUCCCCUCUCCUCUCCCCUCUCCUCUCCCCUCUCCCCUCUCCUCCCCUCCUCUCCCCUCCCCUCUCCUCUCCUCUCCCCUCUCCUCUCUCCCCUCUCCUCCCCUCCCCCCUCCUCUCCCCUCCCCUCUCCCCUCUCCCCUCUCCUCCCCUCCUCUCCCCUCCCCUCUCUCCUCUCCUCUCCCCUCUCCUCUCUCCCCUCUCCUCUCUCUCCUCCGCUCCUCGCUGCGCCUCUCAGUCCCCUCCUCCUCCUCCUCCUCCUCCUCUGCCGCUCCAGAGCAUCACCAGGGGGCUCUGAUUGGCUCCUCAGCCAGCGGUGAGCGGAGCGCUGAGCUCCUCAGUGUGGAUGUGUCGGCGGAAGGGGGGGGGGGGGGGGGGGGGGGGGGGUCUGAGUGACUGCUGCUCGAUUGGCUACAACGUCCACCUAGGGCCCUUAGGUACAAUAUGUGUGAGGGGCCCGGAAAGCCGGUGUGACAGCAGGUAUUUCGUCCGCCGUAGCGUUGCA
RNAcentral lists this long non-coding RNA (1132 nucleotides) under Gadus morhua (Atlantic cod). RNAcentral's name for it is "lncRNA (ENSGMOG00000036796.1)". The record is from RNAcentral. Lineage: Eukaryota; Metazoa; Chordata; Actinopteri; Gadiformes; Gadidae.